Molecule: long non-coding RNA, 10319 nt
Filed under: Gossypium barbadense (sea-island cotton)
Lineage: Eukaryota; Viridiplantae; Streptophyta; Magnoliopsida; Malvales; Malvaceae
Description: long non-coding RNA (GBAR_LNC007974)
Source: RNAcentral
CUGCAAACAAAAUCCUAACUCUCAUAGAGUCCUCUCAAAAUGAAUAUAAAAUUCUCUCCAUAACUACCACGAAAACUCUCACAAAAACUCAUUUGCGACUACAUCUUGUAGCCCCCAAAAGAAAAGCCCUAUAAUACUACAUUUUUAAUUGCAUCUCAAUUGACUUCUCAAAACAGGAUACAAUGUUCAUUUAAAUAGGUUAAGAUUAGAAGUCUAAUCAUACUAAAAUAUUCCUAGAGUAAUCAAAGUUUAACUAGGAAAAGAUAGUAGAGUUGACUAAGAGAAGAAACCCGAUUUAUAUGGAGAACACGUUGCCACGUCACAACAUUGGAAAGCUUCUUGUCAUGACGUCGCCUUCUGUUUGGCUGAAAAUGCGAAGCACAUCCCACAGUUAUAUAAAUGGAUAAAACACCAUAUAGUCAUUAUUAAGUUUUUUCUAACUUGGUCCCGAAUUUUUUCUUAGUGCAAACCAAUACUCAAACUUGAAUUCCAUUAAACGAUUUAGUCCAUUUUUGUAACACCAUUAAAAAAUAUUGACAUUACAUUUUAAAUUUGUAUCACACCGUGACCUAAAAAUUUUAGAAAUAAAUAUUAUACUUAAUUAAUAUAACAUUACAACAUUAUAAACUUCUAAAUGUUUGCUUUAUCCCUUAUAUAAAUUAUUAUUAUACUUAUUAUUAAAUUUUUAAAAAUCAUUAUAAAUAUUGUAAUGUUAUUGCAAUAUUAUUAAAUUUUUAAAAAUCAUUAUAAAUAUUGCAAUGUUAUAUGCAAUAUUCAUUUUCUCAUUUAUAUUUAUUAUACAUUUUUAGUUCAAAAAUGUUUUUGGUGUAAUUUCUUAAUGGCUUUUAUUUUGGUGGUUGCACUACAUUUAGGGAGAGAUUUGAUGAGAUAGGCAAAAAGAUGAAGAUGUUUCAUUUAAUCAUUAGCAGAUAAGAAGACACAUAUUAGGACCUCCUCGACUGUUUUACAUGUGUCUCUUGAUGUUUGGUGUUGACUUUUUUUAGGGCCUAGGUAAAAUAAUAAAAUGAGGUUUUAAGUUCCUUAAAAGUUAGAGAAAAAAAUUUUUAGGUCCCUUAAAAGGUGGUAAAAAAGAUUUGGGCCCAUAAAAGCUAAAAAAAAAACAAAAAAUUAGACACCUUCAAAGUUAGUUUUUUUUUAAAAAAUUAAAAAAAAUUAAACCCCUUAAAAAUUGAAAAAAACAAUAUUUUGGACACUUUCAACCUUGGGCCCUAGGCGGCCGCACCUCUAGACGACCCCAAGGAUGGGCCUGGAUUGUUAGUUAUGUCUCAAAGAUGCUAAUGGUAAUUAAAAACUUAAUCCCCACCUAUAAUUUCAAUUUUAUGAUAUUUUUAGAAGUUUUUUUUUAUUGUUUUGGAUUUAUAUUUUUUAAAUUAAAAGUACCAAAUUGAUGGUUCGUUUGUGGAGACUUUAAUGUGAUAAUGUAUGGUUUUCAAAAAAAGGGAGGGUUACCCCGUGAUGAACGAAAAAUGGAGAAUUUACGUAAUGUUUUAGCGGAUUGUCAGCUAUUGGAUGUGGGGUUUUCUAGAAAUUGGUUUACAUGGAAGAAAGGAAACCUUCCCAAGACAAACAUUCGUGAACGACUCUUCCAUUGUCCUCUUUUAAUUACUACUAAACGGGCUGAAAAUUGGGUGACUGCUAAAGCUUUCAAGUUUGAAACUUUGUGGAUAGUGGAAGAGUCGUUUAAUGAAUAAGUCAAAAAUAUAUGGAAGUCAUCAUCUAGAAACUUGUUGCAAAAGUUAGAUAUUUUAAAAGGGGGAUUGAGACGAUGGGCAGGACAAAUUCGAUUUGAUAGAAGAAGGAGAAAGGAUCUACUCAUAGCUAGACUAUCAGAACUUGCAGGGGCUGACAGAGGUGAUAUCAACAUGGUAGAACUGCUUGAUGCGAAAAUUCAAUUAAACUUUGAGAUUGAAAAGGACGAACAUUACUGGAACAGAGAGCUCGGAUAAAUUGGCUAAAAUUUAGGGAUAGGAAUACUGCAUUUUUUCAAAGCCAAGUGACGCAGCAUAGAAGGAGAAAUGUCGUCCACAAAUUGAAUAAUGAAGAAAGGGUAGAUACGGACAUUGUGAAGGAAAUUGAGGGAAUUGCGCGAUCUUAUUUCCAGAAUUUAUUUACAAUAGAGGGGUGAGGAAAUUUUGACCAUUUGUUGUCGGGUAUUGAAAAAUGCUAUCUAAGGAGGAUAAUCAAAAUCUUAUAAAGCCUUAUAUGGCAGAGGAGAUUAGAGAGGGGCUGUUAGUGAUGGGACCCACUAGAGCACCAGGUGCAAAUGGCUUUCCAGCUCUGUUUUACCAAAAAUGCUAACACAUCAUUGGGGACGACGUCACCAAAUUCUACUUACAAAUUCAUAACGAAGGUAUGGGCUUUCAACAAAUUAAUGCUACUCAUAUAAUCCUCAUCCCUAAAAUUGAUAAUCCGUCUACUAUGAUGAAUUUCAGACCUAUCAGUCUGUGCAAUGUGCUUUAUAAAAUUAUAGCAAAAGUUACUGAAAAUCGUUUCAGGGGAGUUAUUAAAAACUGUAUUGACGUCUCAGAGUGUGUUUGUACCAGGCAGAUUGAUUUCAGAUAAUGUUCUAUUGGCAUAUGAAAUUCUUCAUACUCUUCAACAAAAGAAAGUUGGGAAAAAAGGUUUUAUGGCAGUCAAGUUUGUUGAAAAGACAAAUUAAAAGGGGUGUUGAAAAGUCAAAAAAAUGGGAGGUGCAAGUGGCACCGAAAGAAAAAAAUGGUAGGCAAGUUGUUUAAAGUUGAAUGGGAUAAUUGCAAUUUUGGUCCCUAAUUUUUAGGCCAUUUGCAAGUUAGUCCCUGAACCUCAACUAUAAAUAGGCCUAACCAUUUCUCAUUUACACCAUCCCAACCAAUCUUUCUCUCUUAGUUUUCUCUCUUCUCCCAUUUGAGAAUUCUUAAGGAAUUCUAUUUGUUUGUAAUAUUUUGGAGAUAGUAAAGUUAUCAUCUGGUGUUAGUGCCCGAGGACGUAGGUAUAAUUUACCGAACCUCGUUAAAACUCUUAUGUUCUUUUUGUCCUAUUUUUCUUUCAAUAUUUGAGGGUAUAAUAGUAGUAUUUAAUUGUGCUAUUAAAUUACGUUAGAAGGAAUAUUCUGACUAAGGAAAGACUUGGUAUUUAAGAGAUCCUUGUGAUCCACCUCUCUUCCCUGGGAAUUGAACUUUGUGUGAUUUUUUAGUACAAUAAUUUACACACUUCCGACCCUAUUGGAACAACAAGUGGUAUCAAGAGCCGAAGGUUAAUCGUAGUAUGCUCUGUGGUUGCAGUUUAAACUGAUCUUCCACAUCAAAAAAGAUUUCCUUAGGUAUAUUGAAAGAUUAUGGAGAAAACAGUCGGUGUAGGAGCUUCAACAUCGUCCAUGUAGACAAGACCGACAAUUGCAAAUGCAAGAUUGGCCGUGGAGAUCUUUGAUGGCACGGGCCAUUUUGGUAUGUGGCAAAGUGAGGUUCUAGAUGCCCUUUUUCAGCAGGGUCUAGACAUUGCCAUUGAUGAAGAAAAACCAGAUGAUGUACAGGAGAAAGAUUGGAAGGCGAUCAAUCGGUUGGCAUGUGGCACAAUUCGAUCAUACCUUUCUCGAGAGCAGAGGUAUGCUUUUUCAAAGGAGACUUCUGCAAAUAAGUUGUGGGUGGCACUUGAAGAAAAAUUUUUGAAGAAAAAUAGUCAAAAUAAGCUCCACUUGAAGAAAAGACUGUUUCGCUUCACAUACGUUUCAAGUACCACAAUGAAUGAUCACAUCACCAAAUUUAAUCAGUUAGUCACUGAUUUGUUGAAUAUGGAUGAGACAUUCAAAGAUGAAGAUUUGGCUUUGAUGCUGUUGGGGUCACUUCCUGAGGAGUUUGAGUUCCUAGAAACUACUCUACUUCAUGGCAGGAGUGAUAUAUCUCUGAGCAAAGUCUAUGCGGCCUUAUACAGUUAUGAACAGAGAAAGAAGGACAAACAGAAAAACUCAAUCAGAGAUACAGAAGCUUUAGUAGUCCGAGGUCGUUCAUACACUCGGAAGAAAACUCAAAAGGGGAGAUCAAAGUCAAAGUCCAGACUCGGGAAAGAUGAAUGUGCUUUUUGUCAUGAGAAAGGCCACUGGAAGAAAAAUUGUCCAAAGCUGAAGAAUAAGGGAAAAGCUGCUGUAGAUGCUUGUGUUGCUAAGCAUGAUACUAGUGACUCUGAACUAUCACUGGUUGCAUCAUCAUCGUCGUUCCAUUCAGAUGAGUGGAUAUUGGAUUCGGGUUGUACCUAUCAUAUGUCCCCUAACCGGGAGUGGUUCUCUGAUUUAGUAGAACUAAAUGGAGGAGUUGUUUAUAUGGGCAAUGACAAUGCCUGUAAAACUGUUGGGAUAGGUUCAAUCUAAUUAAAGAAUCAAGAUGGAUCAACCAGAGUUCUGACUGAUGUUCGGUACGUGCCCAGUUUGAAGAAAAAUCUCAUCUCAUUGGGAGCCUUGGAAUCCAAUGGUUCAGUUGUUACUAUGAAAGAUGGGAUUUUGAAAGUGACAUCUGGUGCACUUGUGAUAUUGAAGGGCAUCAGGAAAAAUAACUUGUAUUACUACCAAGGUAGUAUAGUUAUUGGAGCAGUCGCUACAGCUUCCGGUAACAAAGAAUUGGACUCAAUGCAGUUGUGGCAUAUGAAGUUGGGACAUGCCAGCGAAAAAUCCUUGCAAAUUCUGGCAAAGCAAGGAUUAUUGAAAGGUGCAAAGGCUUACAAAUUAAAAUUUUGCGAGCAUUGUGUUCUGGGAAAGAAAAAGAGAGUGAAAUUCGGUACUGCUAUCCAUAAUACAAAAGGUAUUUUGGAAUAUGUUCACUCAGAUGUGUGGGGGCCUUCCAAGACACCUUCAUUGGGAGGAAAACACUACUUUGUUACUUUUGUUGAUGACUUUUCCAGAAGAGUUUGGGUGUAUACCAUGAGAACUAAGGAUGAAGUGCUUAGAGUUUUUCUUAAAUGGAAAACUAUGAUCGAAAACCAGACUGGCAAGAAAAUCAAGCGGCUUAGGACGGACAAUGGAGGGGAAUAUAAAAGUGAUCAGUUCUUCGAUGUGUGCCAAGAGUAUGGUAUUGUUCGACACUUCACAGUUAGGGAUACACCACAGCAGAAUGGAUUGGCAGAGCGUAUGAAUCGAACAUUACUGGAGAAAGUUCGAUGUAUGUUGUCCAAUGCUGGGUUGGGCAAGCAAUUUUGGGCUGAGGCUGUGACAUACGCUGGCCAUCUUGUUAAUCGUUUGCCAUCAUCUGCAUUAGAAAGAAAAACUCCUAUGGAGGUAUGGUCUGGAAAACCGGCUACAGAUUAUGAUUCCUUACAUGUGUUUGGAUCCACUGCAUAUUACCAUGUGAAGGAGUCAAAGUUAGAUCCGAGGGCAAAGAAAGCUCUCUUUAUGGGAAUCACUUCUGGAGUGAAGGGAUUUCGUCUUUGGUGCUUAAGCAUAAAGAAAAUGAUCUGUAGCAGAGAUGUUACCUUUGAUGAAUCUGCCACAUUGAAAAAGGUAGCAGAUAAAGAUAUUCAGACGAGCAAUACUCCACAACAGGUGGAGUGUACUCCAAAACAUGUGGAGUUUGAGCAGAUGGGGAUUUGCCCAGUUAAUAAGUCUAAUUCUCCAGCCACAAUGGAGGAAUUAGAGGUUGAAGAGGUUCUGACCCAAGAACCACUAAGUACACCAGAACCAGUUGCAGUUGCAAGGCCACGGAGAGAAAUUCGUAAACCUGCUCGAUUUACUGAUAUGGUGGCCUACGCCCUUCCCGUUGUUGAUGAUAUUCCUAUCACUUAUCAAGAAGCGAUGCAAAGCUUAGAAAGUGAUAAAUGGAAAAGCGCCAUGGAUGAAGAAAUGCAGUCUCUCCUGAAGAACAAUACUUGGGAAUUGGCGCAAUUACCGAAAGGUAAAAGGGCAAUCGGAUGCAAGUGGGUAUUCGCAAAGAAAGAUGGAUCUCCUAGCAAGAAGGAUAUUCGCUAUAAGGCAAGAUUGGUAGCUAAAGGCUACGCUCAGAAGGAGGGAAUUGACUACAAUGAUGUAUUUUCCCCUGUUGUGAAGCAUUCCUCCAUUAGAAUUUUGUUGGCCUUGGUAGCACAGUUGAAUUUGGAGCUAGCUCAACUUGAUGUUAAGACGGCUUUCUUGCAUGGUGAGUUAGAAGAGGAGAUCUAUAUGACUCAGCCCGAAGGAUACACAGAUGCUGGUGGUAGAAAUUGGGUUUGUAAGCUGAACAAAUCGCUAUAUGGAUUGAAGCAAUCCCCGAUGCAGUGGUACAAGCGAUUUGAUAGCUUUAUGAGAAGGCAGAAGUACACAAGAAGCAAAUAUGACAAUUGUGUAUAUUUGCAGAAGCUGCAUGACGGAUCUUUCAUUUAUCUACUCUUGUAUGUUGAUGAUAUGUUAAUCGCUUCGAAGAGCCAAAAUGAGAUAGAUAAGCUGAAGGCUCAGUUGAAUCAAGAGUUCGAGAUGAAAGAUCUAGGUGAGGCCAAGAAGAUUCUCGGCCUGGAGAUAAGUAGAGAUAGACCGAGAGGCAAGCUCUGUUUAAAUCAGAAGCAAUAUCUGAAAAAGGUAUUACAAUGUUUUGGUGUAAAUGAAAACACAAAACAUGUAAGUACCCCACUUGCUUCUCAUUUGAAACUUAGUGCUCAAUUAUCUCCGAAGACUGAAGAUGAAAGAGAAUAUAUGGCGAAAGUCCCAUAUGCUAAUGCAGUUGGGAGUUUGAUGUAUGCGAUGGUGUGUACGAGGCCUGACAUUUCACAAUCUGUUGGAGUUGUGAGCAGGUAUAUGCAUGAUCCUGGAAAAGGACAUUGGCAAGCUGUGAAAUAGAUUCUACGGUAUCUUCAAAAAACCGUAGAUGUUGGUUUAAUUUUUGAACAGGAUGAAGCACUUGGUCAGUUUGUAGUUGGAUAUGUUGAUUCCAACUUUGCUGGUGAUUUAGAUAAACGUCGUUCAACUACGGGGUAUCUGUUUACUCUUGCGAAAGCCCCAGUGAGUUGGAAGUCUACCUUACAGUCUACAGUAGCUGUGUCUACUACAGACGCAGAAUAUAUGGUAGUUACAGAAGCUGUUAAGGAGGCUAUUUGGCUUAAUGGAUUGUUGAAAGACUUAGGAGUUGUUCAAAGUCACAUAAGUUUAUAUUGUGACAGUCAGAGCGAUAUUCAUUUAGCGAAAAAUCAAGUCUAUCAUUCAAGAACCAAGCAUAUCGACGUAAGAUAUCACUUUGUGCGGGAAGUCUUUGAAAAAGGAAAAAUUCUACUUCAGAAGAUUCCGACAGCAGAUAAUCCCGCAGAUAUGAUGACCAAGGUGGUAACAACAAUCAAGUUUAAUCAUUGUUUGAACUUGAUUAACAUCCUGAGAAUUUGAGCACCUUUAGGUGUAUGGCGCUCGAGAGCGCAUUUGGAGGCACUACAAAAGAUAGCUUUAUCGAAUUUGGGGAGUUGAAGGAAGUAUGUGAAGAUGUGAUUAUCCUAAUCAAAUCUUCAAGGUGGAGAUUGUUGAAAAGACAAAUUAAAAGGGGUGUUGAAAAGUCAAAAAAAUGGGAGGUGCAAGUGGCACCGAAAGAAAAAAAUGGUAGGCAAGUUGUUUAAAGUUGAAUGGGAUAAUUGCAAUUUUGGUCUCUAAUUUUUAGGCCAUUUGCAAGUUAGUCUCUGAACCUCAACUAUAAAUAGGCCUAACCAUUUCUCAUUUACACCAUCCCAACCAAUCUUUCUCUCUUAGUUUUCUCUCUUCUCCCAUUUGAGAAUUCUUAAGGAAUUCUAUUUGUUUGUAAUAUUUUGGAGAUAGUAAAGUUAUCAUCUGGUGUUAGUGCCCGAGGACGUAGGUAUAAUUUACCGAACCUCGUUAAAACUCUUAUGUUCUUUUUGUCCUAUUUUUCUUUCAAUAUUUGAGGGUAUAAUAGUAGUAUUUAAUUGUGCUAUUAAAUUACGUUAGAAGGAAUAUUCUGACUAAGGAAAGACUUGGUAUUUAAGAGAUCCUUGUGAUCCACCUCUCUUCCCUGGGAAUUGAACUUUGUGUGAUUUUUUAAUACAAUAAUUUACACGCUUCCGACCCUAUUGGAACAACAAAGUUAGACAUGAGUAAAGUAUAUGACAGGGUUGAGUGGAAUUUUAUCAAAGAAAUUAUGAUACGAAUGGGGUUCGAUAUGAACUAGAUUGAAACUUUAAUGAAAUGUUUGACAAUUAUCUUCUAUUCAGUAGUUGUAAAUGGAUACAUAGGAGAAAGCUUCCACCCAGCAAGGGGACAUCGUCAAGGAGACCCGUUUAGCCUGUUUCUAUUUCUCAUUUGCGAAGAGGGUUUAUCGUGUUUAAUGCGAUUAGCAAGUAGAGAAGGUCUAUUGAAAGGAGCCAAAGCUAGUAGGAGCGGACCACAGGUAUCACACUUGUUUUUUACCGAUGAUUGCAUUUUAUUUGGCCAGGCUACAAAAAGAGAAGCUAAUUUAUUGAAGGAAAUUUUAAGGGAAUAUAGGAGUUGCUCAGACCAAUGUGUUAACUUUAAUAAGUCCAAUGUCUUUUUUAAUAGAAAUACCAAUGAAUAGGAUAGGCGGGAAGUGGUAAAUAUUUUGAAGGUGCGAAGUUCAAACAAUCCAAAGAGGUAUUUAGGCUACCCAAUGCAGUUGGAAGAAAGAAAAAAGAAUCGUUUCAGGAUCUAAAAGAUCGAAUUAAGAAACGUAUUGACAAAUGGAGCACUAGAUUUUUUUCUUAGGGCGUAAAUGAAGUAUUUAUCAAAUCUGUCCUUCAAUCUAUCCCAACUUAUACUAUGUCUUGUUUCUUAUUGCCCAAAUCUUUAUGUACAGAAUUGGAAAGCAUUAUUGCUCAAUUUUGGUGGCAAAAGAGGCAUGGCAGACGGGGAAUACAUAGGUGUGCAUAGAAAAUUCUUUGUCUAUUAAAAGAAAAUGGGGGUCUUGGUUUUCGAAAUAUGAGUCAGUUCAAUAUUGCAUUAUUAGCCAAGCAAGGGUGGCGCCUUAUUAAUUAUCUGAAUUCAUUAGUAGCUAGAGUACUCAAGGCUAAAUACUAUCCGCAUACGAAUUUUAAUAACGCUCAGUUAAGGAAUCUACCUUCCCUUACCUAGAAGAGCGUGUAGGCUACUAAGGGAUUGUUGAAGAAUGGACUGUGUUGGAGGGUUGGAAGGGAUGAUGGAAUCUCGAUCUGGGAGGGCCGUCAGAUUCCAAGAAUGAAACUUAAUGAGUGGAACAAUAGAAACGACAGCGAAGGGCCUCAGUUAGUCUCAGAAUUAAUUGACCCAAAUACCAGAACAUGGAAGACAAGUAUUGUUAGUAGUACCUUCCAAAAUGAGAUUGCUCAACAAAUUAUGUAGAUUCCUCUUGCGAAAAGUCCUCAUAACGACCUUUAAGUGUGGAAAGGAGAACCGUCUGGAGAAUUUACUGUCAAAAGUGCCUACAAACUAUUUCAAGAAGCUAUCUUGGAUCCUAGUUAUUAUUUUAUACAGGCCGACUCAAAGAAAUUCUACAAAAAAACUUUGGAAUCUAGGACUACCCUCAAAAAUACUGGUUACAAUAUGGAGAAUUACAUGGAACUAUAUUCCAACUAGGGAUUUAAAUAGCAGUCCGAUACGGCUAUAGCGACGCUAUAUAGCAGUAGCGGCGCCGUCCGAAACCGUUACUAUUGAAAAUAACAGUGUGAAGCGGAGUCCCACUGAUAGCGGUGGGUUGCGGCUACAAUUUAACGGGUAAUGGCCAGUUGCGGCAAUAACAGGCCGCUAUUCCCGUUAUUUUCCGUUGCAGUAAAUUAAAAAAAAUCCAUCUCCUCUAGACAAAAAUCAACAAAAACAGUGAAACACAAUAAAACAAAAGGGAAUAUAUUCUCCUGCCUGUAAAACCAGAGUGUUUUCAAUCAAAAAAAGAAAAAUGAAGACCAAAUAAAUAGAAAAAGCAAUCAAAAUUCAAAACUAAAAAUGAAAACCAAAUAAAUAGAAAAAGCAAUCAAAAUUCAAAACUCAAAAGCAAUAGAAAAUAUGAAAUUCUAUUUCUCAUAUUUCGGUCCCUAAACUCUAAACCAAACGGCAAACAAAGCAAACCCUGAUCACUUUCACAUUCAGAGAUUGAAAAUUUUCAAGUAAGUACCUAAAAUUUUGUCUUGAUUCUUGGCUUCUUGCUUGUUUUUGCAAUGCAAAUAUGUUCUUUAGAGUUUAGACUUUAGGUUAGGGAUGAAGGGAGAAGUUACAACCAGCAUAUUCCAAGAAUUUGAUAGAGUUUUGAGAGGAUAUGAGUUUUAAGAGGAUGAUAGACUUUAGGCCUCUUCAGUUUUUCUUUCUAAGUUUUCUGCCGUUUGAUUUCUUUUUUUCUUUAUUUUUUUCAUUUUUAUUUUCCUUUCCUCCUAGCCAAAACCAAGGCACUGUCUAG